AGCAGCCGCGGUAAUUCCAGCUCCAAUAGCGUAUAUUAAAGUUGUUGCAGUUAAAAAGCUCGUAGUUGAAUUUCGGGGUUAGUACGCUGGUCGUGCCUUCGGUAUGUACUGGUGUUACUGAUUCCUACCUUCUGACGAACCGUCAUGUCAUUAAUUUGGUGUGGCGGGGAAUCAGGACUGUUACUUUGAAAAAAUUAGAGUGUUUAAAGCAGGCUCGCUCUUGAAUACAUUAGCAUGGAAUAAUGAAAUAGGACGUUCGAUUCUAUUUUGUUGGUUUCUAGGAUUGACGUAAUGAUUAAUAGGGAUAGUUGGGGGCAUUAGUAUUCAAUUGUCAGAGGUGAAAUUCUUGGAUUUAUUGAAGACUAACUACUGCGAAAGCAUUUGCCAAGGAUGUUUUCAUUAAUCAAGAACGAAAGUUAGGGGAUCGAAGACGAUCAGAUACCGUCGUAGUCUUAACCAUAAACUAUGCCGACUAGGGAUCGGAUGAUGUUAAUUUUUUAAUAACUCAUUCGGCGCCUUACGGGAACCU
Molecule: ribosomal RNA, 529 nt
Filed under: uncultured fungus
Lineage: Eukaryota; Fungi
Description: SSU rRNA
Rfam family: Eukaryotic small subunit ribosomal RNA
Source: RNAcentral